Molecule: non-coding RNA, 28 nt
Filed under: Mus musculus (house mouse)
Lineage: Eukaryota; Metazoa; Chordata; Mammalia; Rodentia; Muridae
Source: RNAcentral
UGGUAGUGAGUCAUCUAGGCAUUUGUCA